GGAGGAUAGAAAAGGGGAGAAGAAGAAGACAGAGAAAAGGCUAGGUUGUCUGUUAAAGGGAUUAAGCAUAGUAAAUACCAUGAUUAUUCGUCUGUUUGUAUGUUGAAUGAAUUGCUUUUUAUGUACCAGGAUAUUUUGUUAAGCUGAUUAUUUUUCUUUAAACCCAACGGUGAUCUCUGUUGAAAGCAGCCUGGACCAGUGACUUGGUGGACAGAAGAAUCACACAAACAGUUAUGAUCCUGCAUACAAAUAACAUCAGAAGAUGGGAUGCAGCACUAUCAAGAUUAUGAUCUCCUCCGCUGGUAAAUAAAGGUUUAACAACACAUGACCAGUCCCUUCUUUUCCAUUGUUCUCUGACAAUGGGAGCUGGAGCUGGAGAGGAAAUCCAUGUACGGAUAGUAAAAAUGAGCACCCUGAGGGUACUGGCAUUGGUGACAGUGUUUUCUAUGGUUCCUGGUGCGUUUCUGAGUGAUAUAAGAGAUACUCAGGGUCUGGAAGGCCAACAGCUGGCCCAAGGGUCUACUGUUCUGCACCAUCGCCAAAAGAGAGGCUGGAUUUGGAAACAACUGUUUGUCCAGGAGGAAGAUCCCACUUCUCGCAUUGUUGGCCAGGUUAAAUCUGACUCUGACCGAGGCGAAUUUAAUAUUCAGUACAUAUUAUCAGGAGAAGGUGCUGGAGAUGUGUUCGAGAUAGACGAGUAUUCUGGAGAGAUACGGACUCUAAAGAAGCUGGACCGCGAGGAAAAGGCCUUCUAUGUCCUUCAGGCCCAGGCCAUAAACAGGAGGACCAAUGAGCCAGAGGAGCCCCAGUCUGAGUUCAUUAUCAAAGUGCAGGACAUCAACGACAAUGCCCCACUCUUCCUGAACGAGCCGUAUUUGUCCAGCAUCCCUGAGAUGAGCCCAGUUGGGACCGCGGUGGCCCAGGUGACAGCCACAGAUGCGGAUGAUCCCAUGUUCGGCAACAAUGCUAAGCUUAUCUACUCCAUCCUGCAGGGGGAACCCUACUUCUCUGUGCAGCCAAAGACAGGAAUUAUUGUAACAUCUUGGGUUAAUAUGGAUCGUGAAGCCAGGGAGGAGUACCUGGUGGUGGUGCAGGUGAAGGAUAUGCUGGGCCUCAGCGGCGGUUACUCCUCCUCCACCACGGUUACCGUCAGCCUGACUGACGUGAACGACAAUGGACCCACAUUUCAGCAAUGUCUAUACACCUUUGCUUUACCUGAAAAUGCAGUCAUUGGCACCACAGUGGGCAGAAUCAUGGCAGAUGAUGGAGACAUUGGCAUUAACACCAAAAUGACAUAUCGUCUGGAGGGUGACCUGAAAGAAAGCUCCACUUUUAUCAUUGAAACAGACCCAGUUACACAGGAAGGAGUGGUCCAUCUGGCCAAGUCUUUGGACUAUGAAUCCAAGAGCCACUAUGUGAUGGUGGCAGAGGCAGCUAAUGACCACCCAGACACUCGGUUUCUGACUCUGGAUGAGUUCAGUGACAGGACGAAACUAAAGAUUGUUGUGGAGGACGUAGACGAACCGCCUGUCUUCUUCUCAGCAUUCUACGAGUGGAAGGUUCCUGAGAAUGCGGCGGUGGGAACAGUGGUUGGCACUGUUAGUGCCAGAGACACUGACACAGUCAACAAUCCCAUCAGAUACUCUAUCGUCAAAAAGACCGAUGCCACCAAUGCUUUCAAAAUAGACCCAAACAAUGGAACCAUAGCUAUAGCUAAAGCUUUGGACCGAGAAUCUACAGAGUGGCACAACAUGAGUGUUGAAGCCAAGGAAACCACACAGAACCAUUUAUCCUCCUCCGUGGUGGUGUUCAUCACCGUGCUGGACGUAAACGACAACGUGCCAAGGCUUGCAAGGGAUUACCAGCCAUAUAUCUGUGAGGGCACGCAGGCGGGAGAACUCGUUCAGCUUCUUAGUGCUGUUGACCCAGACGAGGCUGUGGAGGAUCAUCACUUCUACUACUCUAUGGUCCCUGAGGAGCGCAUCAAUCCAAACUUUACUAUCAGAGAUAAUCAAGAUAACACGGCAGGCAUUGUGGCACGCAGGAGCACUUUCACACGUAAAGAUCGAACUUGGUACCUGCUUCCUGUCGUGGUGGCCGACAGCGGCACCCCAGCCCUCUCUAGCACCACCACAUUAACCAUCAGCGUCUGCAGCUGCCUGCCGGCUGGCCAUUGUCCUUCAGGAGGGGUUGAGGCACUCGCUCUCUCUGGGGUCAGCAUGCAAACCUUGAUAGGGCUUUCAGUCUGCCUGGUCACUCUCAUUGACCACUGCACAUCCUGCCACGAGGUUUCGGGAUAUUGUAAGAUUGAAUGAUUUCUUUGGAACAAAUGGCUUGCUGCUCCACUUUUUACUCCACCCAUAUACCAUACUGUCGGGUUUUGGAGUCUGUCUUUGUUUUUUUUUUUUGCCUGCUGCUUACACUGUUCCACCACUAGAUGCCGUCUGAGCUUCGGAGGUGAGAAGGAACAGGUGGGUGCUCGCAAUUGCUCAUCAGUGAGGAGGAGGAGGAUAAGAGAGCAGCUCGCCAGCACUCCUACACCUGAGUGUUUGCCUGUUGUGGUAACAAAUGCCGGCCAAACCUACCUUAGCUUUCUGAAGCUCCUUCGUGAUUCCAAAGUAACCUGCCUCGUCCUUAUGUUUUUCUCCAAGCUUGACUCCAGUCCGGUUACGGCUCUGUUGAUUCCUCGUUUCUGCUGAUUUCCUCAUCUCAAGUUCCAAAUUAAGUUCCUGGAUUCCUUCUCCAGCUGGCGGCUGCUAAAACCUCCUCCUUUCUGGCUCAAGAACCAAGCGAACCCUGUCCACCUUACCUCCGAGCCCGGCACCGAUAUUCAUCACUCAGAUCUGGUGGAAUUCAACUUCAAGCAGGCACAGAAUUCAUCCAUCCACCCAACCAUCAGCUGUCUCCCCUAAGUCGUCUCUAGUGGAUUCUGUCGAGGACGAGCCGCCUGAUCUAACUCAGAUCCCCGAAGAAUAUCAUGACCUGAGAACGGUGUUCAGUAAGUCCAAAGCUCAGACCCUUCCACAUCAUCGACCAUACGAUUGUGCUAUUGACCUCCUUCCUGGAGCACCCCUGCCCACAAGCAAACUCUAUAACAUCUCUCAAUCCGAACGUCAGACUAUGGAAAGAUACAUAUCUGAAUCUUUAGCAGCUGGAACCAUUUGCCCAUCCUCAUCCCCAUUAGGAGCUGGAUUUUUCUUCGUGGGAAAAAAAAGAUGGAUCCCUCCGUCCCUGCAUUGAUUAUAGAGGUUUGGACCAAAUAACAAUCAAAAAUAAAUAUCCUCUGCCUUUACUAUCCUCUGCUUUUGAACCAGUCCAAAAUUCAACCAUCUUCAUCAAAUUAGACCUCCGGAAUGCCUACCAUCUUGUCCAAAUCCGAGAGGGAGACUAGUGGAAAACCGCCUUCAAGACACCACUUGGCCACUUCGACUAUCUGGUAAUGCCGUUUGGCCUCUGAAAUGCACCUGCAGUCUUCCAAGCCCUAGUAAAUGAUAUUCUCUGUGAUUUCUUAAACACAUUUGUCUUUGUAUAUCUUGACAAUAUACUAAUCUACUCCAAAGAUAUCUCUGCACACUGCCAUCACGUCCGUUUGGUCCUUCAGCGACUUCUGGAAAACCAACUGUUUGUAAAGGCAGAAAAAUGCGAGUGUCACAAACCUUCCAUCACAUUUCUGGGGUUUAUUCUCGAGGGUGGACAGGUUCGCUCAGAUCCGGAGAAAGUCAAAGCAGUGUUAGAAUGGCCUGUCCCUGACUCUCGCACGCAACUUCAACGUUUCUUGGGCUUUGCUAAUUUUUGUAGACGGUUUAUUCGAAACUACAGCCAGACUGCAGCUCCCCUGAAUGCUCUGACCUCAUCCAAGACUCAUUUCCGGUGGACCCCCAAAGCAGAGGAAGCAUUCAGUUCAGGAGAAGUUCUCUCAAGCCCCCAUUCUGACCCAUCCAGACUCUACCAAACAGUUCAUCCUCGAAGUGGAUGCGUCAGAUACCGGUGUGGGGGCAGUUCUGUCUCAACGGUCCAGCAAAGAUGAUAAUGUUCACCCUUGUGCCUUUUUUUCCCGCAGACUGUCCAGUGCUGAGCGCAACUAUGAUGUGGGGGACAGAGAACUGCUGGCAAUUAAAUUAGCCUUGGAGGAAUGGAGGCAUUGGCUGGAGGGAACGUUCACCCUGUAUUGGUAUGGACCGGCCAUAAAAACUUAUCAUACAUUCAAUCUGCCAAACAUCUAAAUUCUCACCAGUCCCAUUGGUCCCUGUUUUUCUCUCGCUUCAAUCUCUCCAUCUCCUACAGACCCGGUUCUAAGAACCAAAAAUCCGAUGCCGUGUCUCGCCAGUUUUCUCCGGAUGAUUAUGACAAGCAGCCUGCUCCUAUUCUUCCUCCAAGUUGCACUGUGGGAGCUCUAACAUAGGAGAUAGGAGAUAUUGUUAAUCAGGCUCUCAUAAAUGAACCUGACCCCAAGACCGGGCCACCUAACUGAACCUAUGUACCAUCCACCGUCCGAGCCCGUCUUAUUCACUGGUUUCAUUCAGCCAGUUUUUCUGCUCAUCCUGGAAUUAGUCGAACUGUCACCUUAAUAUCCAGACGGUUUUGGUGGCCACCAUUCAUCAAGACGUCAAGGACUACGUGAAAGCAUGUUCAGUUUGUGCAAGAAAUAAAUCAUCCAACCGACCACCAGCCAGUCUCCUCCAACCCCUUGAGGUACCCAAACGACCCUGGUACCACAUUGCACUUGACUUCAUCACUGGACUUCCCGUAUCGAAAGGUAUGACCACCAUCCUAACCAUUGUUGGCAGAUUUUCCAAAGCUUGCCAUCUCAUCCCUCUCAGGAAACUUCCCUCAGCCUUUCAAACAGCCCAGUUACUCGUCAAACAUGUUUUCCGACUACACGGAAUUCCACAGGACAUACUCUCUGAUCGGGGUCCCCAGUUCAUCUCCAAGGUAUGGAAACAGUUUUAUUCAGCACUAGAAGCCAAAGUGUCACUCACCUCAGGUUACCACCCGCAAUCCAAUGGACAGACCGAGAUAAUUAAUCAGAAACUAAGGCAACUCUCAGAUGCUUCACGUCAUCCAGUCCCUUGGAUUGGAGUGUUUAUCUUCCUUGGGUUGAAUACUUACAUAAUUCACAUGUCUCUGAUGCAACCGGUUUUUCUCCUUUUGAAAUUUCUCUUGGCUAUCAGCCUCCAUUGUUCCCCGCAGAUGAGAAUGAGAUCGCUGUUCCCUCUAUGGCCUACCACAUUCGCCGAGCUAAACACAUAUGGAAUGAUUCCAUCAGAGCCCUGCAAUGAACCGCCAGCCAGAAUAAAUGGUUCGCAGACAGAAGGCGCACACCGGCUCCACAGUAUCAUCCCGGAGAGAAGGUUCGGUUAUCCUCACAAGACAUACCCUUUAAGUCCUUGUCAAGGAAACUCUCCCCCAGGUUCAUUGGACCAUAUGAAAUCGAAUCAGUAAUCAAUCCCACCACAGUCAAACUUCGUCUCCAAUCCUCCUUUCGUAUACAUCCAGUUUUCCAUGUUUCUCAGCUAAAAGCUGUAACGUCCAGUCUACUGUGCCCUCCGGCCGAACCCCCUCCACCCGCCCGGGAUUUCCAGGGGCAUCCAGUGUACACUGUUCGGCAGAUUGUGGACUCCCGUCGGCGAGGUAGAGGCUGGCAGUACCUCGUUGACUGGGAGGGUUACGGUCCAGAGGACCGUUCUUGGAUCCCCCGCUUCUUCAUCUGCGAU
Molecule: RNA transcript, 5714 nt
Organism: Girardinichthys multiradiatus
Lineage: Eukaryota; Metazoa; Chordata; Actinopteri; Cyprinodontiformes; Goodeidae
Gene: cdh19
Gene name: cadherin 19, type 2
Exons: 13
Source: RefSeq, a predicted model, not a curated record